This is an unclassified non-coding RNA of Callithrix jacchus (white-tufted-ear marmoset), 149 nucleotides long. It matches the Rfam family "Metazoan signal recognition particle RNA". Rfam says of the family: The signal recognition particle (SRP) is a universally conserved ribonucleoprotein. The record is from Ensembl. Lineage: Eukaryota; Metazoa; Chordata; Mammalia; Primates; Cebidae.
GCCAGGCAUGGUGGCGCAUGCCUGUAGUCCCAGCUACUUGGGAGGCUGAGGCAGGAGAAUUGCUUGAACCCAGGAAGCUGAGGUUGCAGUGAGUUGAGAUCGUGCCACUUACACUCCAGCCUGAGUGACAGAGUGAGCCUCUGUCUCAA